This 253-nucleotide ribosomal RNA is filed under the name uncultured bacterium. RNAcentral describes it as "partial 16S ribosomal RNA". It matches the Rfam family "Bacterial small subunit ribosomal RNA", at positions 524 to 776 of the family's 1533-position model. The record is from RNAcentral.
UACAGAGGGUGCAAGCGUUGUUCGGAAUUAUUGGGCGUAAAGGGCGCGUAGGCGGUGCGGUAAGUCUUUUGUGAAAUCUCCGGGCUCAACUCGGAGUCUGCAGGAGAAACUGCCGUGCUGGAGUGUGGGAGAGGUGCGUGGAAUUCCUGGUGUAGCGGUGAAAUGCGUAGAUAUCAGGAGGAACACCUGUGGCGAAAGCGGCGCACUGGACCACAACUGACGCUGAGGCGCGAAAGCUAGGGGAGCAAACAGG